RNAcentral lists this ribosomal RNA (253 nucleotides) under uncultured bacterium. RNAcentral's name for it is "partial 16S ribosomal RNA". It matches the Rfam family "Bacterial small subunit ribosomal RNA", at positions 524 to 776 of the family's 1533-position model. The record is from RNAcentral.
UACGUAGGGGGCAAGCGUUGUCCGGAAUCAUUGGGCGUAAAGAGCGCGUAGGCGGCCCAGUAAGUCCGCUCUGAAAGUCAGAGGCUCAACCUCUGAAUGCGGGUGGAUACUGCUGGGCUAGAGUCCGGAAGAGGCGAGUGGAAUUCCUGGUGUAGCGGUGAAAUGCGCAGAUAUCAGGAAGAACACCCGUGGCGAAGGCGGCUCUCUGGGACGGUACUGACGCUGAGACGCGAAAGCGUGGGGAGCGAACAGG